GCGUUCGUGGUGUAGUGGUCAGCACGAUCGUCGCGUAACCGAGAGGUCCAUGGUUCGAUUCCCGGUGAAGGCG
Molecule: transfer RNA, 73 nt
Filed under: Stegodyphus mimosarum
Lineage: Eukaryota; Metazoa; Arthropoda; Arachnida; Araneae; Eresidae
Rfam family: tRNA
About the family: Transfer RNA (tRNA) molecules are approximately 80 nucleotides in length. Their secondary structure includes four short double-helical elements and three loops (D, anti-codon, and T loops).
Source: Rfam by way of RNAcentral